GCCCCCGUAGCUCAAUGGACAGAGCGCCUGACUUCGAAUCAGUAGGUUCCGAGUUCGAAUCUCGGCGGGGGCGCCA
This 76-nucleotide transfer RNA is filed under the name Pelolinea submarina. Its description in RNAcentral is "tRNA-Arg". It matches the Rfam family "tRNA". Rfam says of the family: Transfer RNA (tRNA) molecules are approximately 80 nucleotides in length. Their secondary structure includes four short double-helical elements and three loops (D, anti-codon, and T loops). RNAcentral also lists the same sequence under 1 other name. Lineage: Bacteria; Bacillati; Chloroflexota; Anaerolineae; Anaerolineales; Anaerolineaceae. The record is from RNAcentral.